Long non-coding RNA from Ipomoea nil (Japanese morning glory), 182 nucleotides. RefSeq lists it as uncharacterized. The transcript has 2 exons. The record is from RefSeq and is a predicted model, not a curated record. Lineage: Eukaryota; Viridiplantae; Streptophyta; Magnoliopsida; Solanales; Convolvulaceae.
GCCCGUCAGGCGUUAUUGGGUAGAGGAUGCACCGGCCCAUUAUCCUUCCACUGCAGAGAGGAGGAGGUUUCCGUUGCUCUGUAAAGCCAGCCUCACGCGGUGCCCUCCAAUCUAAGGACCAGGAAGCCUCUGCCUUCGCAAAGAAUCCACGACACAACUCACCACUUGGAACGGGCAAGCCA